GUAGGUGGCAAGCGUUGUCCGGAAUUAUUGGGCGUAAAGCGCGCGCAGGUGGUUCGUUUAAGUCUGAUGUGAAAGCCCCCCGGGCUCAACCGGGGAGGGUCAUUGGAAACUGGGGAACUUGAGUGCAGGAGAGGAAAGUGGAAUUCCACGUGUAGCGGUGAAAUGCGUAGAUAUGUGGAGGAACACCAGUGGCGAAGGCGACUUUCUGGCCUGUAACUGACACUGAGGCUCGAAAGCGUGGGGAGCAAACAGGAUUAGAUACCCUGGUAGUCCACGCCGUAAACGAUGAGUGCUAAGUGUUGGGGGGUUUCCGCCCCUCAGUGCUGCAGCUAACGCAUUAAGCACUCCGCCUGGGGAGUACGGUCGCAAAGACUG
Molecule: ribosomal RNA, 375 nt
Filed under: uncultured organism
Description: partial 16S ribosomal RNA
Rfam family: Bacterial small subunit ribosomal RNA
Source: RNAcentral